AUGUGUCCCCAUGUCGCCCAGUGUCCCCUAGUGUCUGUGUCCCCAUGUAUUCCAGUGUCAUCACUAGGGGUCACUGUGAGACAUGGGGACACU
Non-coding RNA from Pelobates cultripes (western spadefoot toad), 93 nucleotides. The record is from the annotation of a GenBank genome assembly. NCBI's taxonomy places the organism in Eukaryota, Metazoa, Chordata, Amphibia, Anura, Pelobatidae.